CAAUCUGCUCAAUGAUUUAUAUUAAAUAGUUGCAGUAUUAUAACUGUACGAAGGUAGCAUAAUAAUUUGUCCUAUAAUUAAGGAAUAGAAUGAAUGAUUUAAUGAAAAAAUUAAUGUCUCAAUUUUAUUUUUAAAAUUUAAAUUUUAAGUUAAAAAGCUUAAAUAAAAUUAAAAGACGAGAAGACCCUAUAGAAUUUUAUAUGAUAUUAUUUAAUAAUUUUAAAUAUUAAUUAUAUUUGAUUGGGAGGAUUCUUAAAUUAAACUAACUUUAAUUUUUAUAAAAAUUAAUUUAUUUAUAUUAAAUGAACCAAAAAUUUUGAUUUAUAAAAUAAAUUACCUUAGGGAUAACAGCAUAAUUUUUUUAGAUAGCUCUAAUUAAUAAAAAAGAUUAUGACCUCGAUGUUGAAUUAAGAUUAAAUUAAAAGAAAAUUUUUAAGUUUUAAGUCUGUUCGACU
Molecule: ribosomal RNA, 455 nt
Filed under: Lycogaster sp. N3
Lineage: Eukaryota; Metazoa; Arthropoda; Insecta; Hymenoptera; Trigonalidae
Description: partial 16S ribosomal RNA
Source: RNAcentral